This is a non-coding RNA of Bombyx mori (domestic silkworm), 107 nucleotides long. NCBI's taxonomy places the organism in Eukaryota, Metazoa, Arthropoda, Insecta, Lepidoptera, Bombycidae. The record is from Rfam.
CUACUUGUUUCGAAAGUACAUACAGUAAAGUUGGGGCAAUACGGAGACGAUUAGCAUGGCCCCUGCGCAAGGUUGACACACGAAAAUGGGAAGGUAUGCAUGCGAUC